ACAUCUCAACUCUCACACUUUGCUGUGAUGAGCUUGGACUUUUGGGGGUUUUGCUGGCCUAUGGUCAGCUCCUCUGAAACAGAUCAGCUUGCCAGUAUUUGGUGGCGUCACAGGUGUGAUAACUAUCUACGCUUGUGAUCAUUUGCCAAGUAACCUUUGGUGACGAAGGUUUGCUGGGGCUUAUAAAUGUCUCUCCUCAGUGAAGACAGCUUUUGACC
Molecule: unclassified non-coding RNA, 218 nt
Filed under: uncultured Thelephora
Lineage: Eukaryota; Fungi; Basidiomycota; Agaricomycetes; Thelephorales; Thelephoraceae
Description: sequence contains ITS2
Source: RNAcentral